RNAcentral lists this ribosomal RNA (254 nucleotides) under uncultured bacterium. RNAcentral's name for it is "partial 16S ribosomal RNA". It matches the Rfam family "Bacterial small subunit ribosomal RNA", at positions 524 to 776 of the family's 1533-position model. The record is from RNAcentral.
UACGUAGGGGGCGAGCGUUGUCCGGAUUCAUUGGGCGUAAAGAGCUCGUAGGCGGCUUGGCAAGUCGGGUGUGAAAACUUCAGGCUCAACCUGGAGCGGCCACUCGAUACUGCCAUGGCUUGAGUCCGGUAGGGGACCACGGAAUUCCUGGUGUAGCGGUGAAAUGCGCAGAUAUCAGGAGGAACACCGGUGGCGAAGGCGGGUCUCUGGGCCGAUACUGACGCUGAGGAGCGAAAGCGUGGGGAGCGAACAGG